This 451-nucleotide ribosomal RNA is filed under the name uncultured organism. RNAcentral describes it as "partial 16S ribosomal RNA". It matches the Rfam family "Bacterial small subunit ribosomal RNA", at positions 335 to 799 of the family's 1533-position model. The record is from RNAcentral.
ACUCCUACGGGAGGCAGCAGUGGGGAAUUUUACGCAAUGGGGGAAACCCUGACGUAGCGACACCGCGUGAGCGAAGAAGCCCUUUGGGGUGUAAAGCUCUGUCAGCUGGAACGAAAACAAUGACGGCACCAGCAGAGGAAGCAUCGGCUAACUACGUGCCAGCAGCCGCGGUAAGACGUAGGAUGCGAGCGUUGUCCGGAUUUAUUGGGCGUAAAGAGUUCGUAGGUGGUUUGUUAAGUUUGGUGUUAAAGAUCGGGGCUCAACCCUGGGACUGCACUGAAUACUGGCAGACUCGAGUGUGGUAGAGGCUAGUGGAAUUCCCAGUGUAGCGGUGAAAUGCGUAGAUAUUGGGAAGAACACCGGUGGCGUAGGCGACUAGCUGGGCCAUAACUGACGCUGAGGAACGAAAGCCAGGGGAGCGAAUGGGAUUAGAUACCCCUGUAGUCCCAUG